Seriola aureovittata is the source of this 738-nucleotide long non-coding RNA. RefSeq lists it as uncharacterized. The transcript has 3 exons. The record is from RefSeq and is a predicted model, not a curated record. NCBI's taxonomy places the organism in Eukaryota, Metazoa, Chordata, Actinopteri, Carangiformes, Carangidae.
ACCGGAAGUAGAUAACACCGGCGGCUACCAUAGACUGUGUGGGCGGCCACAGCGGCGAAACUUUGCAGGCUAACAACAAAAACAGACUUUGGAAACCUUUUUCUUGGGACCCUUUGACUACAUAGCAGUCGGGACAUGCCAACAUGCCGCAGUACCUCAAUAAAUAAGUUGGCAAGAAGGCGAAUGCAACAAGCGAGGAAAAUCAAGAUCCUUCCGGGCUAAUUAAGCUAACACCUGAGCCAGGUGCAGCCUUCACCUUCCCCAUAACAACCGACUGCUUCUGUCGCUGUGCCGGGACUGAUUUCAGUCAAACCAAACUGAGUCUAUAUCCAGCGUCACCCAGCCCCAUUUUAUAAAGAGAGGAUCCAGUAAGUGCAGAUGACCUGAAGACCUGCAACAGGAAUACUGUUGAAUUAUCCUGAGAUGAUAACAACCGACGACCUCAAACACUUUCCUCAGUCCUCAACAGUCACCCUGUCCCUGCCGCUGAAAAAGACCCCCAUAGCAUGAUGUUGUCUCCACCAUGCUUCACCAUGGGGAUGGUAUUGAUCAGGUGAUGAAUGGUCCCUGGUUUCCUCUAGACAUAACACUUAAAACUGAGACCAAACGGUUUAAUCUUGGUUUCAUCAGACCAGAGAUCUUGUUUUUUUUUUUUUUUUUUUAAACAAACUUUCACUGAGAAGAUGUUUCCAUCUGGUCACUCUAUCACAAAGCCCAGAUUGAGAUGCAGUGAUGGUU